Molecule: ribosomal RNA, 465 nt
Filed under: Vreelandella stevensii
Lineage: Bacteria; Pseudomonadati; Pseudomonadota; Gammaproteobacteria; Oceanospirillales; Halomonadaceae
Description: partial 16S ribosomal RNA
Rfam family: Bacterial small subunit ribosomal RNA
Source: RNAcentral
CCUACGGGUGGCUGCAGUGGGGAAUAUUGGACAAUGGGCGAAAGCCUGAUCCAGCCAUGCCGCGUGUGUGAAGAAGGCCUUCGGGUUGUAAAGCACUUUCAGUGGGGAAGAAAGCCUUGGGGCUAAUACCCUCGAGGAAGGACAUCACCCACAGAAGAAGCACCGGCUAACUCCGUGCCAGCAGCCGCGGUAAUACGGAGGGUGCGAGCGUUAAUCGGAAUUACUGGGCGUAAAGCGCGCGUAGGCGGUCUGAUAAGCCGGUUGUGAAAGCCCCGGGCUCAACCUGGGAACGGCAUCCGGAACUGUCAGGCUAGAGUGCAGGAGAGGAAGGUAGAAUUCCCGGUGUAGCGGUGAAAUGCGUAGAGAUCGGGAGGAAUACCAGUGGCGAAGGCGGCCUUCUGGACUGACACUGACGCUGAGGUGCGAAAGCGUGGGUAGCAAACAGGAUUAGAUCCCCCGGUAGUC